GACGAACGCUGGCGGCGUGCCUAAUACAUGCAAGUAGAACGCACAGUUUAUACCGUAGCUUGCUACACCAUAAACUGUGAGUUGCGAACGGGUGAGUAACGCGUAGGUAACCUGCCUGGUAGCGGGGGAUAACUAUCGGAAACGAUAGCUAAUACCGCAUAAUAUUGAUUAUUGCAUGAUAAUUGAUUGAAAGAUGCUAUUGCAUCACUGCCAGAUGGACCUGCGUUGUAUUAGCUAGUAGGUGAGGUAACGGCUCACCUAGGCGACGAUACAUAGCCGACCUGAGAGGGUGAUCGGCCACACUGGGACUGAGACACGGCCCAGACUCCUACGGGAGGCAGCAGUAGGGAAUCUUCGGCAAUGGACGAAAGUCUGACCGAGCAACGCCGCGUGAGUGAAGAAGGUUUUCGGAUCGUAAAGCUCUGUUGUAAGAGAAGAACGGGUGUGAGAGUGGAAAGUUCACACUGUGACGGUAUCUUACCAGAAAGGGACGGCUAACUACGU
This 504-nucleotide ribosomal RNA is filed under the name uncultured bacterium. Its description in RNAcentral is "partial 16S ribosomal RNA". It matches the Rfam family "Bacterial small subunit ribosomal RNA", at positions 28 to 506 of the family's 1533-position model. The record is from RNAcentral.